RNAcentral lists this ribosomal RNA (923 nucleotides) under uncultured bacterium. RNAcentral's name for it is "bacterial SSU rRNA". It matches the Rfam family "Bacterial small subunit ribosomal RNA", at positions 8 to 916 of the family's 1533-position model. The record is from RNAcentral.
AGAGUUUGAUCCUGGCUCAGGAUGAACGCUAGCUACAGGCUUAACACAUGCAAGUCGAGGGGCAGCAUGUAUCUGGUUUUCCAGAUAUGAUGGCGACCGGCGCACGGGUGCGUAACGCGUAUCCAAUCUACCGCAUACUCGGGUCCAGCCUUGCGAAAGCAAGAUUAAUCCCCGAUACGGCCAUUAUUUCGCAUGAGGUAUUGGUGAAAGAUUCAUUUUGGUAUGCGAUGAGGGUGCGUACGAUUAGCUAGUCGGCGGGGUAACGGCCCACCGAGGCUACGAUCGUUAGGGGUUCUGAGAGGAUGAUCCCCCACACUGGUACUGAGACACGGACCAGACUCCUACGGGAGGCAGCAGUGAGGAAUAUUGGUCAAUGGGCGGAAGCCUGAACCAGCCAAGUAGCGUGCAGGAUGACGGCCUUCCAGGUUGUAAACUGCUUUUGUGCGGGAGUAAUGUUCGCCACGUGUUGGCGUUUUGCAAGUACCGCACGAAUAAGGACCGGCUAAUUCCGUGCCAGCAGCCGCGGUAAUACGGAAGGUCCGGGCGUUAUCCGGAUUUAUUGGGUUUAAAGGGAGCGCAGGCGGGAAGUCAAGCGGGCUGUGAAAUACCGGGGCCCAACCUCGGGGCUGCAGUUCGAACUGGUUUUCUUGAGUGCGCGCAGCGCUGCUGGAACUCGUGGUGUAGCGGUGAAAUGCUUAGAUAUCACGAAGAACUCCGAUCGCGAAGGCAGGCAGCGGGCGCAUUACUGACGCUGAGGCUCGAAAGUGCGGGUAUCGAACAGGAUUAGAUACCCUGGUAGUCCGCACGGUAAACGAUGGACACUCGCGGUUCGGUCCGUUUUAGGAUUGUGCCGCUUAGCGAAAGCGUUAAGUGUCCCACCUGGGGAGUACGCCGGCAACGGUGAAACUCAAAGGAAUUGACGG